RNAcentral lists this long non-coding RNA (2584 nucleotides) under Eucalyptus grandis. RNAcentral describes it as "long non-coding RNA (EGRA_LNC004079)". The record is from RNAcentral. Lineage: Eukaryota; Viridiplantae; Streptophyta; Magnoliopsida; Myrtales; Myrtaceae.
GAAAAUAAAGGCUUGUGGGCUCCUCAACCUUAUCUCUAUCCAUCUCUCUCUUCCCUCUCACUAAGCUGCCGUCCAAAACUUCUCCAUUUUCGUGAGCUCCAUCCUCGGUCCUCUUCAACACUUGCCGACUCCCCCUCCGCAACUCCAUCUCUCCCUCGAUUUCUUUCCCUUCAUCCCCUCGAACUCUCACGACAACAAGCUGUUCGGACGACUUCAUCAACACAAGAAGCCAUUUCUUUUGACCACCCAAUCCUCACGAUUUUAGCUCAACAUCCACUGAGUUCUCCUUUGCUGCCCUCUCUCGGUCAAACUCCUCACCACUGAAGACUCGAGCAAGCAUCCGUGUAGUCUUCUCCAGCUCGUGGCCACCGGAACUGCAGCUGCCUUCUUUUUCUUUCGGGGUUGUGCGUGUCCAGCAACGAUCGAAGACUCCCUAGCAGCAAAAGCGUCCACGAACUGCCCAUCUUCGGUCAACAGCUUCCACCGAGUUGAAGCCCACGAAGACCGAAGCCAGUGAAGUUGCUUUUCCCCCUCUUCGUUUGCGACAACUCCCCCGGCGCCAGCUCACUUCACGGGUCAACGAAGCAGCUCCAUCCUCUCGGUGGUUGACCGCCAAACGUCCACGGAGCUACUCCAUCAUCCGCACGUCUCUGCCAGCGAAGCCACCGAGCGCCAUCUUCUCUCCAUCCGCGGCCAGCUGUCCGCGAUUUCUAUUUCCCAGGUCAACCGUCGAAGAUCCCAGCAAGCCUUCGUUGACGCCAGCUCCUUUGAUUCAGCUUCGGUUUGCAGAGUGCAACCCAGCGAAGACAGGCCCGGUUCGGCAGGGCCCAUCUUCAACAGCAAUUCGGGCCUUUUGGUACAGUCCACUGAUCAGCCCAGCUUCCAUUUUGUAACUUGCUUGGCCCAAAUCUCCAGCAGCCCAUUAACUGAAAGUUUGAGGCCCAAUUUCCAGCAAAGAAAUUUGAAGCCCAAGUGAAGUUAGUCCAGAAAUUUCAGCAGGCCCAAUUCAAUUUGGGUCUAGCCCAAAAGCAGGAACAAAUCUCAGUUGGGCUGAGAUUUGUUGGGGCCAAGCCUAAGGCCCGGUCCAAGUUCGCCGGUGUCGUCGAAAGUCCUAUUUCGGCCGCCGUCGCAUCGCCGUUGCGGUGAUUCGGUCUCCGCUUUUGUCAGGUGAGUUUUACUCACUAAUGCUUUAUUAGUUUGCUAAUUAUGCUUAAGGUUGGUUAGAUUUAAUUAAAUGCACUUAGGUGGUUAGAUUAGGUUAGAACAAUUAAUUUAGUGACUUAAUAAUGCAUGUUAGGUGGUUAGACCUAGCUAUUAGCAAGUAGAAAUGUUUGAUUAUUUAUUGAAUGUAUCUCGGGAUUUUUUCCCGACCCGUUUCGGGCUCCAAUAAGGCAAUAUAGGCCUAAAUUGGAUUUUUAAUGUUUAUUUAUGUAUUUUUCGAAAUUAAUUAUUUAAUUAAUUAUUUUUCCGGAAAUUCAACCGAGAUGGCCGGUGACCGGAAUUUCGUGCCGAUUGUCGUGGUGCAGACCGUUUAUUUAAUUGAGCUCUACGUGGUGUGGAAUUGAAUUUAUUGUGGAAUUUUAGGAAUUGUCCUAAAUUAUUUGUUAUUGAAUAUUUGAUUGGUAAUGGCCAAGCAUGGAUAUAUAGCGCCAGUACGUUGAUGGGCUAUAUAGUAGGGAGAAUGGUGAGCUAACUGAGAAUGUUAUUGGCUGAGACCAAUCAGGUACGAUGUUAUUGGAUAUACGUGGUUCGGUGAUUGGAAGUAUCACUGGCGAAAACGGCGCCUUAAAGAACGCACGUAAAUGACUUAUAGACACACGUGGUUCGGUGAUUAUGGGAAUAUCACUGGUGAAAACGGCGCCUUAAAGAACGCACGAUGUUGUCUAUAGCCGAUGUCACCUUGGCGAAAACGGCGCCCUUGAAAGGACACGUGGUUCGGUGAUCAAGGUUAUCACUGGUGAAAACGGCGCCUUAAAGAACGCACGGUGUCGGUGAUCGGUAUGUCAUUGGCGAAAACGACGCCCGAGAAACACAUGUGAUUUGGUGAAUGAGUACACCACUGGGAAAUCGUGGUAUGAGUGGGAAUGACCUAGAAAGGGUCUGGCUGACAUGUAAUCGACUUAGUCGAUUGAUCAAUGCUUGAUCGGAUGUCUUGAAUUGUUUGAAUAUCUGUGUUUAACCUUGAAUUGCAGGUUGGAACUGAGGCUAAGGUAAGUCUUCUGACUCGUGUUGUGCUUAGGCAACCGUAUGGCGUAUUAGUUUAUUAAUCGAGUCUUAGUGGGUAGGACUCGCUGAGACGUGGUCUCAUUGGUUAUUGAAUAACCAUUUCAGGACCCUGAGGAAAAGCUGAGAAGGAAGAACCUGAAGGGGAGAAAGUAUUUUGAAGUAGAAGAUGAUCCAGAGAGGAAUCUUGAGUACCACCCAGAUGUGGAUUGAGAUCCCAUUCCUAUUGUAAACCCUGUCUUGGUAUAGAUAGGUGUGAGACUUUUAUGCUGUAAGUAGUAUUGUAAAUAUACUAUGAGUUGUGCUGUUAAUGGAAGUGUGGUUAUGAAUUUCAAUAUGAAAAAUAUGGCCUGCUUUCCUA